GGCAGUCCGACCGGUCUGCCGAUGGGUAUGCACUGGCCGGAGUGUCCUUUUUGCCGGAGACCGUGCCUACUCUUAACUGAGCGGGGGCGGGAGACGGCACUUUUACUUUGAAAAAAUCAGAGUGUUUCAAGCAGGCAGCUCGCUCUUGCAUGGAUUAGCAUGGGAUAAUGAAAUAGGACUUUGGUGCUAUUUUGUUGGUUUCGAACACCGAAGUAAUGAUGAGAAGGGACAGUCAGGGGCACUCGUAUUCCGCAGAGAGAGGUGAAAUUCUCAGACCCGCGGAAGACGAACCACUGCGAAAGCAUUUGCCAGGGAUGUUUUCACUGAUCAAGAACGAAAGUUAGGGGAUCGAAGAUGAUCAGAUACCGUCGUAGUCUUAACCAUAAACCAUGCCGACUAGGGAUUGGAGGAUGUUCACUGAUUGACUCCUUCAGCACCUUACGGGAAACUAAAGUCUUUGGGUUCCGGGGGGAGUAUGGUCGCAAGGCUGAAACUUAAAGGAAUUGACGGAAGGGCACCACCAGGUGUGGAGCCUGCGGCUUAAUUUGACUCAACACGGGGAAACUUACCAGGUCCAGACAUUGUGAGGAUUGACAGAUUGAGAGCUCUUUCUUGAUUCGAUGGGUGGUGGUGCAUGGCCGUUCUUAGUUGGUGGAGUGAUUUGUCUGGUUAAUUCCGUUAACGAACGAGACCUUAGCCUGCUAAAUAGUGACGCGAACUCUUUGUUGGCGGGCCCACUUCUUAGAGGGACAACUUGUCUUUCACAAGUGGAAGUUUGAGGCAAUAACAGGUCUGUGAUGCCC
Molecule: ribosomal RNA, 803 nt
Filed under: uncultured eukaryote
Lineage: Eukaryota
Description: SSU rRNA
Rfam family: Eukaryotic small subunit ribosomal RNA
Source: RNAcentral